This 400-nucleotide ribosomal RNA is filed under the name uncultured bacterium. RNAcentral describes it as "bacterial SSU rRNA". It matches the Rfam family "Bacterial small subunit ribosomal RNA", at positions 359 to 776 of the family's 1533-position model. The record is from RNAcentral.
GAAUAUUGGACAAUGGGCGCAAGCCUGAUCCAGCAAUGCCGCGUGAGUGAUGAAGGCCUUAGGGUUGUAAAGCUCUUUCGGCGGGGAAGAUGAUGACGGUACCCGCCGAAGAAGCCCCGGCCAACUUCGUGCCAGCAGCCGCGGUAAUACGAAGGGGGCUAGCGUUGUUCGGAAUUACUGGGCGUAAAGGGCGCGUAGGCGGCGCGUUAAGUCAGGUGUGAAAGCCCUGGGCUCAACCCAGGAAUUGCACUUGAUACUGACGUGCUUGAAUCCGGAAGAGGAUGACGGAAUUCCCAGUGUAGAGGUGAAAUUCAUUGAUAUUGGGAAGAACACCAGUGGCGAAGGCGGUCAUCUGGUCCGGUAUUGACGCUGAGGCGCGAAAGCGUGGGGAGCAAACAGG